Molecule: transfer RNA, 90 nt
Filed under: Terriglobia bacterium
Lineage: Bacteria; Pseudomonadati; Acidobacteriota; Terriglobia
Description: tRNA-Ser
Rfam family: tRNA
About the family: Transfer RNA (tRNA) molecules are approximately 80 nucleotides in length. Their secondary structure includes four short double-helical elements and three loops (D, anti-codon, and T loops). Further hydrogen bonds mediate the characteristic L-shaped molecular structure. tRNAs have two regions of fundamental functional importance: the anti-codon, which is responsible for specific mRNA codon recognition, and the 3' end, to which the tRNAs corresponding amino acid is attached (by aminoacyl-tRNA synthetases). tRNAs cope with the degeneracy of the genetic code in two manners: having more than one tRNA (with a specific anti-codon) for a particular amino acid; and 'wobble' base-pairing, i.e. permitting non-standard base-pairing at the 3rd anti-codon position.
Source: RNAcentral
GGAGAGAUGGCCGAGUGGCUGAAGGCGCACGCUUGGAAAGCGUGUUUACUCGUAAGGGUAACCAGGGUUCGAAUCCCUGUCUCUCCGCCA